UCCAUCAGACCUUGAACCAGCUCCAGGGAAUUGUCGAAGAGAAGAAAGACAAUAGGGACGCCAAAAAUGACCAGAGUGGUACGGAUC
This 87-nucleotide non-coding RNA is filed under the name Lotharella globosa. Lineage: Eukaryota; Cercozoa; Chlorarachniophyceae. The record is from RNAcentral.